This 465-nucleotide ribosomal RNA is filed under the name uncultured bacterium. Its description in RNAcentral is "bacterial SSU rRNA". It matches the Rfam family "Bacterial small subunit ribosomal RNA", at positions 917 to 1382 of the family's 1533-position model. The record is from RNAcentral.
GGGCCCGCACAAGCGGAGGAACAUGUGGUUUAAUUCGAUGAUACGCGAGGAACCUUACCCGGGCUCGAACGGUACAGGGAUACGACAGAGAUGUUGUAGCUAGCAAUAGUCUGUAUCGAGGUGCUGCAUGGUUGUCGUCAGCUCGUGCCGUGAGGUGUAGGCUUAAGUGCCAUAACGAGCGCAACCCUUGUUGUUAGUUACCAUCAGGUAAAGCUGGGGACUCUAGCGAGACUGCCACCGUAAGGUGCGAGGAAGGGGGGGAUGACGUCAAAUCAGCACGGCCCUUACGUCCGGGGCGACACACGUGUUACAAUGGUGGAUACAGAGGGGCGCUACCCAGUGAUGGGAUGCGAAUCUCUAAAGUCCAUCUCAGUUCGGAUUGGAGUCUGCAACUCGACUCCAUGAAGUUGGAUUCGCUAGUAAUCGCGCAUCAGCCAUGGCGCGGUGAAUACGUUCCCGGGCCUU